This 490-nucleotide ribosomal RNA is filed under the name uncultured bacterium. Its description in RNAcentral is "partial 16S ribosomal RNA". It matches the Rfam family "Bacterial small subunit ribosomal RNA", at positions 30 to 507 of the family's 1533-position model. The record is from RNAcentral.
AUUGAACGCUGGCGGCAGGCCUAACACAUGCAAGUCGAAUGGUAACAGGAAACAGCUUGCUGUUUCACUGACGAGUGGCGGACGGGUGAGUAAUGUCUGGGAAACUGCCUGAUGGAGGGGGAUAACUACUGGAAACGGUAGCUAAUACCGCAUAACGUCGCAAGACCAAAGAGGGGGACCUUCGGGCCUCUUGCCAUCAGAUGUGCCCAGAUGGGAUUAGCUAGUAGGUGGGGUAACGGCUCACCUAGGCGACGAUCCCUAGCUGGUCUGAGAGGAUGACCAGCCACACUGGAACUGAGACACGGUCCAGACUCCUACGGGAGGCAGCAGUGGGGAAUAUUGCACAAUGGGCGCAAGCCUGAUGCAGCCAUGCCGCGUGUAUGAAGAAGGCCUUCGGGUUGUAAAGUACUUUCAGCGGGGAGGAAGGGAGUAAAGUUAAUACCUUUGCUCAUUGACGUUACCCGCAGAAGAAGCACCGGCUAACUCCGUG